AAGAUUGAGUGCUGUAAUCGCUCUGGAUAAGAGCGUCUGCUAAAUGACGUAAA
Molecule: non-coding RNA, 53 nt
Organism: Salmo salar (Atlantic salmon)
Lineage: Eukaryota; Metazoa; Chordata; Actinopteri; Salmoniformes; Salmonidae
Source: Rfam